CCAGAACUAUCCAGAGUUUUAGGUGGAGUCCCCUAGUUCCCUCAGCUCACAGAGCCUUCAUAAGCAUUGGGGUUGAGGUCCCCAGAGCACUUGGAUGAUGUCUGGAGCACUCAGGUAACCCUUUGGGGGUUCCACCCUUUUGCCGAGGAUUGGGUGCAAUUACAGAGUUUGGGACCCCAGAGCCCUGAAGAGCCCUGGGCAAUGGAAGCCAAGCCCAAAUGGGAGACCUCAGAAGUCCAAUGAAGCUCAGGAACUCAAUGACUGGCAUUGAGUCCUGGGGAAGGCCCAGAGCCCUAGGGAGCCCUCUAGUUUCUCAGGUCCUUGGCACUACACGGAUGGAACUGGCAGCCCUUGUAGAAUGAAUGAAUGAAGUGGGGGAGAUAACACAUGAGUGGUCACCGUUUACUUUCUUCCCUCUCUUCUGACAUGCCAGACACCAUAGUGAUCAAUUAUACCCAGCCUCCUACUCUGUCCUCCUCACCUGCAACAGAUUCAGUACUCAAGACCUAGUGGGCCAUUUUGUCCCCAAAGUCUCCAUAUCUCUUCCCCUAUUCUUGGGAUUUUCCAGGCCCAGCUCCUGUUACUCUUGUGCUGUUCCUUCUCUCCACAACAGCUAACUCUUCAAAGGUUUGGGGAUGUCAACCUUGCCACUACCCCAGGUUCCACAUAGGUUCCCAUUGGUCUCACCUGCUUCUACCCAAUCCCCAGCAGGGCUCCAGUCCAACACAACAAUCCUGAGCAGUGAGUCACUUCUUCCUCUCAAUGUGCUUGAAUAUGUGUGUGUGUGUGUGUGUGUGUGUGUAUUUAUUUAUUUAUUUUAGUACCAGGGAUUGAACUUGGGAGUACUCAACCACUGAGCCACAUUCCUAGCCCUAUUUUGUAUUUUAGAGACAGGGUCUCACUUGAGUUGCUUAGUGCUUCACUGUUGCUGGCUUUGAACUUGUGAUUCUCCUGUGUUGGCCUCCCAAGCCACUCGGAUUAUAGGUGUGUGCCACUAUGCCUGGCUCCUUUACAUUUUAAAUGUACAAGAACCAUGUAUUACUUUUGGGAUCACAACAUUGUGGGAGUCUAUGAUGCAGCAAUGAGAAAUGGUCAGGAACCACUGUGAGGGUUAUUUGCUCUGCUAAACUCAUCAUGUGGCCAUAGCCAUGAGCCCUUGCAUGUGCAGGCUCUGCAUGGUUACUAUGCCCGGUUGAGUCCCACCACUUGCAGCAAAGGAGCAGAUCACUGAAGCAUGGGCCCCAUCCCUGGCUGGGCCUCCUCUUUCCUGCCCUCUGCUAGCAGUGUGAAGCCAGACAUGCAAGGCAUAACAUGGAUAUUGCAUUCUAUCCUGAGUUUUUAACAACUUUUUUUUUUUUUUUUUGGUACCAGGGAUUGAACCUGGGGGCAUUUAGCCACUGAGCCACAUCCCCAGCCCUUUUUUAUAAUUUAUUUAGAGAUGGUCUCACUGAAUUGCUGAGGCUGGCUUUGAACUCAUGAUCCUUCUACCUCAGCCUCUGGAGCCACUAGGAUUACAGACGUGUGCCACCACCCCUGGUUUAUCACCUUUCAAAAAUACAUGUAAG
RNAcentral lists this long non-coding RNA (1565 nucleotides) under Marmota monax (woodchuck). The record is from RNAcentral. Lineage: Eukaryota; Metazoa; Chordata; Mammalia; Rodentia; Sciuridae.